GACGAACGCUGGCGGCGUGCUUAACACAUGCAAGUCGAACGGUAAGGCCCUUCGGGGUACACGAGUGGCGAACGGGUGAGUAACACGUGGGUGAUCUGCCCUGCACCUCGGGAUAAGCCUGGGAAACUGGGUCUAAUACCGGAUAGGACUCCGGACUGCAUGGUCUGGGGUGGAAAGCUUUUGCGGUGUGGGAUGGGCCCGCGGCCUAUCAGCGUGUUGGUGGGGUGAUGGCCUACCAAGGCGACGACGGGUAGCCGGCCUGAGAGGGUGACCGGCCACACUGGGACUGAGGUACGGCCCAGACUCCUACGGGAGGCAGCAGUGGGGAAUAUUGCACAAUGGGCGCAAGCCUGAUGCAGCGACGCCGCGUGAGGGAUGACGGCCUUCGGGUUGUAAACCUCUUUCAGCAUCGACGAAGCGAAAGUGACGGUAGGUGCAGAAGAAGGACCGGCCAACUACGUGCCAGCCGCCGCGGUAA
This 478-nucleotide ribosomal RNA is filed under the name uncultured bacterium. RNAcentral's name for it is "partial 16S ribosomal RNA". It matches the Rfam family "Bacterial small subunit ribosomal RNA", at positions 28 to 523 of the family's 1533-position model. The record is from RNAcentral.